Molecule: ribosomal RNA, 497 nt
Filed under: uncultured bacterium
Lineage: Bacteria
Description: partial 16S ribosomal RNA
Rfam family: Bacterial small subunit ribosomal RNA
Source: RNAcentral
GAUGAACGCUGGCGGCGUGCCUAAUACAUGCAAGUCGAGCGAACAGACGAGGAGCUUGCUCCUCUGACGUUAGCGGCGGACGGGUGAGUAACACGUGGAUAACCUACCUAUAAGACUGGGAUAACUUCGGGAAACCGGAGCUAAUACCGGAUAAUAUAUUGAACCGCAUGGUUCAAUAGUGAAAGACGGUUUUGCUGUCACUUAUAGAUGGAUCCGCGCCGCAUUAGCUAGUUGGUAAGGUAACGGCUUACCAAGGCAACGAUGCGUAGCCGACCUGAGAGGAGGAUGGGCCCCAAUGGAGGUGAGACACGGUCCAGACUCCUACGGGAGGCAGCAGUAGGGAAUCUUACGGAAUGGGCGAAAGACUGACGGAGCAACGCCGCGGGGGUGAGGAAGGUCUUCGGAUCGUAAAACUCUGUUAUUGGGGAAGAACAAAUGUGUAAGUAAUUAUGCACGUCUUGACGGUACCUAAUCAGAAAGCGACGGCUAACUACGUG